GAUGAACGCUGGCGGCGUGCCUAAUACAUGCAAGUCGAGCGAACAGACGAGGAGCUUGCUCCUCUGACGUUAGCGGCGGACGGGUGAGUAACACGUGGAUAACCUACCUAUAAGACUGGGAUAACUUCGGGAAACCGGAGCUAAUACCGGAUAAUAUAUUGAACCGCAUGGUUCAAUAGUGAAAGACGGUUUUGCUGUCACUUAUAGAUGGAUCUGGGCCGCAUUAGCUAGUUGGUAAGGUAAAGGCUUACCAAGGCAACGAUGCGUAGCCGACGUGAGAGGGGGGUCGGCGACACUGGAACUGAGACACGGUCCAGACGCCUACGGGAGGCAGCAGUAGGGAAUCUUCCGCAAUGGUCGAAAGCCUGACGGAGCAACGCCGCGUGAGUGAUGAAGGUGUUCGGAGCGUAAAACUCUGUUAUUAGGGAAGAACAAAUGUGUAAGUAACUAUGCACGUCUUGACGGUACCUAAUCAGAAAGCCACGGCUAACUACGUG
Molecule: ribosomal RNA, 497 nt
Filed under: uncultured bacterium
Lineage: Bacteria
Description: partial 16S ribosomal RNA
Rfam family: Bacterial small subunit ribosomal RNA
Source: RNAcentral